Molecule: ribosomal RNA, 109 nt
Filed under: Macaca mulatta (Rhesus monkey)
Lineage: Eukaryota; Metazoa; Chordata; Mammalia; Primates; Cercopithecidae
Source: RNAcentral
AUCUACAGCCAAACCACCCUGAACACACCUAAUCUUGUCUGAUCUUGGAAGCUAAGCAGGGUCUGGUCUGGUUAGUACUUGGAUGGGAGAAAAAUGAUAUCUGUAGGAA